AAACUCAAAGGAAUUGACGGGGACCCGCACAAGCAGCGGAGCGUGUGGUUUAAUUCGUUGCUACACGAAGAACCUUACCUGGGUUUGACAUAUAGGUUGUAGGGAACUGAAAAGGGACCGACCCUUCGGGAGCCUAUACAGGUGUUGCAUGGCUGUCGUCAGCUCGUGUCGUGAGAUGUUCGGUUAAGUCCGCUAACGAGCGCAACCCUCGUCGUAUGUUAUAUGUGUCAUACGAGACUGCCGGUAAAAGCCGGAGGAAGGUGAGGAUGAUGUCAAGUCAGCAUGACCUUUAUAUCCAGGGCUACACACACGCUACAAUGGUCUGUACAAUGGGUAGCCAAGCCGCGAGGCGGAGCCAAUCCUGAAAGCAGGCCUCAGUUCAGAUUGCAGUCUGCAACUCGACUGCAUGAAGCCGGAGUUGCUAGUAACCGCAGGUCAGCAAUACUGCGGUGAAUACGUUCCCGGGUCUU
RNAcentral lists this ribosomal RNA (470 nucleotides) under uncultured Anaerolineaceae bacterium. Its description in RNAcentral is "bacterial SSU rRNA". It matches the Rfam family "Bacterial small subunit ribosomal RNA", at positions 897 to 1382 of the family's 1533-position model. The record is from RNAcentral. Lineage: Bacteria; Bacillati; Chloroflexota; Anaerolineae; Anaerolineales; Anaerolineaceae.